This 89-nucleotide transfer RNA is filed under the name Acidiphilium sp. CAG:727. RNAcentral describes it as "transfer RNA-Ser(GGA)". It matches the Rfam family "tRNA". From Rfam's summary of the family: Transfer RNA (tRNA) molecules are approximately 80 nucleotides in length. The record is from RNAcentral. RNAcentral also lists the same sequence under 2 other names. Lineage: Bacteria; Pseudomonadati; Pseudomonadota; Alphaproteobacteria; Acetobacterales; Acidocellaceae.
GGAAGCGUAUCGAAGCGGUCAUAACGGGCACGAUUGGAAAUCGUGUAGUCUUAACGGGCUCGGGGGUUCGAAUCCCCCCGCUUCCGCCA